UCAAUAUUUUUAUAACGAAGAAUGGUUUAAGUUCCUAACCUUGCUGACAUUGUGUAUUUUGAUUACAUUCAGAUGACAGACCUGAAUAUGCAUCUGUUCAAGCAAUUCUUUACGGUCCUUACCUUCUUGCUGGCCACACCACUAGUGAUUGGGCCAUUAAAGCUGUUGCAGACUGGAUUACUCCAAUUCCUUCCAAUUACAAUAGUCAACUAGUUUCUCUCUCCCAAGACUUUGCAAACUCAAAUUUUGUUUUAACAAACUCAAACCAAACACUUACUAUGCAAGAAUUACCUGGAUCUGGCACUGAGUUUGCUCUGCAUGCAACCUUUAGACUCAUCCUAAAAGAAUCUUCCUCAAAGUUUUCAUCAUUGACGGAUAGUAUUGAGAAAUCAGUGAUGUUAGAACCAAUUGAUCUUCCUGGAAUGAAUGUUGUUCACCAAGGAGCAAACCAACCUCUGAUCAUUUCCAAUGGCGGGCCAUCUUCGGUUUUUCUUGUGGUACCGGGAUUGGAUGGACGAAAUGGAACCAUCUCUUUAGAAUCUCAGAGCAAUAAGGGUUGUUAUGUGCACAGUGGCUUGAGUUCUGGUUCAGAAGUGAAGCUCAGUUGCAUCUCUGGUUCUGAAGCUACUUUUAAGCAAGCAACAAGCUUUGUUGUUUGGAAAGGAUUAAGGGAAUACAAUCCUAUCAGCUUUGUGGCCAAAGGGACAAGCAGAAAUUUUCUUUUGGAGCCAUUAUUGAGUUUCAGAGAUGAGCGUUAUACUGUUUAUUUCAACAUUCAAAAUUGAUGAUACAAGAUUUAUUUUCAAUAAGUAAUAUUUAUCUAACUUUGGUCUGUGAAGGUUCAAAUAAUCGACAUUCAAUUAUAAAAAGAAUGUUGAUGAAUUUCCUCUUGUGCUUGAUGGUCUGUAAUUGAAAUUUGAAACAGUACACAUGAUCAACUGGAUAUGCAUACAUGACCACUGUUUUUUUUUACAUGACCACUGUUGAUUACACAUCAACCAUGAAAAAAUAAGUUGCAAAAAGUAAUUAUUGAAAUAAAAUUGUAACAUUAUUUUAAACACUUUGAUGUAUAUCUUUUCCAUCAAUUUCCUUCUGUUCCCCUUAUGAUUAGUUAUAGGAAUUGCUAACUCUGCUCAAGAUAAUGUUCUGGAUUCACACAGCUCUAUGAAAUGUAUAAUCUAAUUGCUGAGUGUUGUCGAUCACCCAAGUUCUUUUGGGACUUUGAGGCUAAAGGGGUAAAGAGGAAUUUUUUUUAGAGCCAGGUCAAAAAUAGGAUGCAGUCACCCAAUUUUUAAGGGAUAGCGUAGACUUCACAUUGUCUCUUUCCAUAACAGCUUUACUCUCCCGCCCAGGAAUAUAGGAAUAUAAUAUAUCUGUGGCUGCAUUACUUGCUUUUCAAAUCCAAAAUGGCAAAACCUGAGAUCAUCUUAAACAUGUCCCUGUUUUCUAGUACCUAUAUAUAUAUCCCAUUCCAUUUUCUCCAAUCUCCAAACUUCACUGAAAAAAUCCAACCCUUUUUCUCUUUUCAAUUUCUUUUUUAUAUCCAACUUAGGUAACAAAUUUCUAACCCGUUUUGCUUAGUUUAAUGGUUUUCCCCACCUUUAAUUUUGGAUUUUUCAACAAAGAUGGAGACUUUUGUGUUUUUGCUUGUGACCCUUUUGCUGUGCGGUCAUGCUGCUGGGAAAGAAUGCACAAACAUUCCUACUCAAUCGCACACGUUCGCGUACCAGCUAAUGACAUCCAAGAACGAGACAUGGAAAUCAGAGGUGAUGUCUCAGAUUCAUUUGACUCCCACUGAUGAAUCUGCUUGGGCAGAUUUGAUGCCAAGGAGGUCAUUGGAUGAGAAUGAGAAAAACAAACAUGAAUGGGGUAUGAUGUAUAGGACAGUUAAGAACUUGGGAACCAUGAAUUCACCACCUAAAGGGUUUUUAAAAGAAGUGCCUCUUCAGGAUGUGAGGUUGAAUGAGGGUUCCAUCCAUUGGAGGGCACAGCAGACAAACUUGGAGUAUCUUUUGAUGUUGGAUGUGGACAGGUUGCUUUGGAGUUUCAGGAAAACUUCUGGUUUACCAACUCCGGGGACGCCUUAUGGAGGAUGGGAAGCUGCAGAUAUUGAGCUCAGAGGUCAUUUUGUUGGUUAGUUACUUUAUUACAUCAAUCAUCUUAAAUGUGUUCACCAAAUCUAGCUUGUGUCGCAGUUUGAUGUUAUUCAUUUAUACUAUAUGCUCAGAACAUUUCUCAGUUGAUGUUUUUGAAAAGCUUGGUUUUCUACAUAAUGAAGUUAUGUAUGAAGAAUUCAUUGGACUCCAUGUAUCUAAAUUAGUGAAUUGUAUUUUUUUUUUUGUUUUUUGUUUGUUUGAGGUUUGUUGAUAACUUAUGAAAUAUCUCUCACAAACUGAUGUGUAGAAAAACAAAUGCAUAUUGAAUUCAUUCCCCUGGCUGCAACUUUCAGCUUCUACAAUUCACUUUUCAAGGAUAAUUUAUAAUUGCUUUUUUUAAAACUGUGAAGGGCAUUACUUGAGCGCAUCAGCACUAAUGUGGGCCAGCACACACAAUGAUAUUCUGAAGAAGAGAAUGGACGCUCUCGUUGCCGGUCGAUAUCUCUCUGCAUUUCCACCGGAGCUUUUUGAUCGAGUUGAAGCUAUAAAACCUGUGUGGGCUCCCUAUUACACCCUUCACAAGGUACAAUCGAAAGUAGCUUUUUCUUAUGCAAGUGUUUUCUUGGCCUUAACAUUGUGGAAUUUCAAAUAUUCCACUUCGACAGAUCUUUGCUGGCCUGUUGGAUCAACAUACUAUUGGUGGAAACCCUCAAGCUCUAAAAAUGGUGACAUGGAUGGCUGAUUACUUUUACGACCGCGUGAUGAAUGUCAUAACAAAGUACACUAUUGAAAGACACUAUGAAUCACAGAAUACAGAAACAGGAGGAAUGAAUGAUGUCCUUUACAAACUAUAUAACUUAACGGUGGGUUUACUAGUUCACAUAGUUUCCUUUACUAUUGUUGCUUUGUGUGCUUCUAUAAUGUUCUUGACUUGUAGACUUUGUUGAUCUUAGUAUAGGAAUUAGAAGAUAACGAUUCUAAUUCAUACUUGAGAGAUUAUUUUAAAAGCAAUGGCUUACUUAGCGUUCAUGAUUAUAGCACAAGAUACAUAGUUAUUAUGGUAAACUUCAAUUCUGAAGUAUAGCUUCCAUGCUAUUCUCCGCAGGGGGAUUCGAAGCAUCUAGUGUUGGCUCACCUUUUUGACAAACCAUGCUUUUUAGGGUUGCUCGCAGUGCAGGUAACUGAAACAUUAUUUGUUGAGUUUUGACAUUGACAUAUUGCUAUUUAAUCCACAUUCUGUUGUAUAUAGCUGGCAAUAAAUUUCAAGAGGUCUUACCGUUGUCUUUAAAAUAAUUUUUAGGAUGAGUUGUAUUAUAAUCCUUACUAAUGUAAGCUUUCAGUUGAAUAAAUCUGGAAAAGUGCAUGGGCGAACAAUAUAUACCAGAAAGCUUAAAUGUGAAAUUAAAUUAACUUAAAGUUACUCUUUUUUACACACGGGAAAAUAAACUUCCUGUCCUUGAAACAAUUAGAUAUUGGAUGUUGAACUUGGGCAUUAUUCUAGCUUAUGAACUACAUCUAAUUUUAUAACCAUUCCACAUAAUUGUUUUCUGAACUUCUCUGUUUUCAUGUAGGCUGAUGACAUAGCUGGUUUGCAUGCUAAUACACAUAUCCCAAUUCUUGUCGGAGCUCAACUGCGGUAUGAAAUCACGGGUGACCCACUUUAUAAGGUGAAAUAUUUAGGAACAUUAUACAUUACUGAUAUAAAUUUCACUAAAUUUGAAUAAAAUCACGUUUAUUUUAUAUUUAUUAGUUUAACACCAUUUAUUUAGUUUUUCAAUUUACACUCUGUAAGUUAAUAGAGUUUACUUAUGAUUUUUUUCAACAAUCUUGCAUAACUUCCGUUGUCAAUGGAUUGUGGAAGUAACCUAUUCAGAUAAUUGUAACUCAAACACCCCUAUUUGUACCUCCAGUCUGUCAUUGUUUGUGAAAUACACAUUCACUCCGAAUGGUAGAAACAAAAUACAUAUUAAUGUCCCCCUCACACUUUAAAUUAGUACCUAUAUGGUUCAUACUUCAAUUUAGGCAUGUCUAUCUGUAGACUGUCUUUAUAUUUGUUACCUAUGGUCCUUUUUCAUUUUAAAAUGUUUCUCCUAUUGCAUGUUUUAGAUUUCUGCAGUAAAUUUGGAGUUCCAACUUCAAAUUACAUUUCUAUGCAUUCCAUUUGCUUUCCGCCCUUCAAAACUCAACAUCUGCCAUGCCUUUCAACUUUCUAAGACUUUUCUUGUUCUUUGGUGUGUUAGGAAAUUGCAACAUUCUUUAUGGACACUGUAAACUCUUCACACAGCUAUGCAACUGGAGGGACGUCAGUAAGCGAGUUCUGGUAUUAAGAAGUCAGCAUUUUAUGUUUCAGCUUUUUCAUAUGCAUUUGGAAUUGUCUUUUGAGUUUGUCUUCUGGAAGGGCAUAAAGUAUACUAUUAUGUGUUUCAUUCCUUUAGUUAUUCACUAUCGGUUCUAGAUUUCUUUCUUAACUCCUUUACUUCAAUUUUUGCAUAGGCAUGAUCCAAAGAGAAUAGCAGAAAACCUAAAAUCGACAGAAAAUGAAGAAUCCUGCUCUACAUAUAACAUGUUAAAGGUACAUCCAAGCAUUUAUCAUUUUAUUAGCUCAUGUCAUGAGAAGUUAAAAUUGAGCAUAUGAAAAAAUUUCAGUUUUUUUUAACUAUUAGAAGGGGGAAGACUUAUUGUCACAUGGUAAUUCAGUGGUAUUAUGUUUAUGAUUUAUGCUUGUAUAUGUGUUUAUGUGUGUGUGUGACAAGACACAAUGUUAUGAGAUUAUUGUUAGUUGAUUUCUAUUGUAAGUAUUUGUGUUCCCAGACAAUAUUUCCAUUAUCUUAGCACCUAAAAAUGAAAUGAUUUCAGGUUUCACGCAACCUCUUUAGAUGGACCAAAGAAGUCUCUUAUGCAGAUUAUUACGAGCGUGCUUUAACAAAUGGUGUACUCAGCAUUCAAAGAGGAACAGAUCCUGGAGUGAUGGUUUAUAUGCUUCCACUAGGUUAUGGGGUUUCCAAAGCUAAGACUUAUCAUAGUUGGGGAACGCCAUUUGAUUCUUUCUGGUGCUGCUAUGGAACAGGUGCUCAUUUGUUUCGAAUUGCAUCAAACUGCACCAUAUUUUUUGUCAAUUCUUUCAUACUCUUAUCAGUCUUAUGUUCUCAAUUUAUUUUUCCUGUUCAUUAGGAAUUGAAUCAUUCUCAAAGCUGGGAGAUUCUAUCUAUUUCGAACAGGAAGGGAAUGAUCCCACUCUUUACAUCAUUCAGUACAUAUCAAGCUCAUUUAAUUGGAAAUCUGGGAACCUCUUGCUCAAUCAGACUGUGGUUCCAGCUUCUUCAUGGGAUCCUAACCUGCAAGUGACAUUUACGUUUUCUCCUCUUGAGGUGCCUAUUACAUUGUCUUAUGGCAUCUUAUUUAGCCCCAUACUCAUCUUAGAUGCCUUUUAAGAUCAAACAUCCUCAUAAUGCCUAAUCUGUGCAAAAUUUUGUCCCUUUUGUCCCCCCAACCCCCUUCUUCACUAAGGCUUUCAUUUUCAAAAUAUUAGGUCCCUCUCCUACUUCUUUUGUUCAUAAUUACUUUAUAAUCUACCAUUGUCAUCUGAGAUGUGACGAAGGAAAUUGGAGUAUAAUUUGUUGGAAUCUAGUGUAUAUUGGUAUAACAAGCACCAUAGGUUACCUUUUGAAAAUUGCACCGUCAAGGUGAUUAUUAAUUGAAGAUGGGUUCCUGAUACUACACCAAAAUUGGGCAUCUCAACUUGAUUAUGCAUCUGGACAUUUCAGUUACUUAGAUUUAUUUUAAAAAAAUUAAUUGCUAAUAAAGGAUAACGGAUAUAUUUUCAUACCUUCACUUCUGCAGAAAACUGGAACUUUGUCUGCAUUGAACUUUCGACUACCGUCUUGGACAAGUACAGUUGGCGCCAAGGGGAUAUUAAAUAGUGAAACUUUAACUCUGCCAACUCCAGGUGUGAAUCUCUCUUUACUUCUCUUUUAUUAAGUCAAGAUUCCCCUAGUUAUCUAAUCGCAGACACAGGUUAGAAACACACACACACACAGCGAACUAAAUAUCUUGUAAUUCAUAACAGAAAAAAAUUGACACUAGAGACAUAAAGAAAUAUUUUAUUUUUGCCAAUCUCUAGGAAAUUUUUUAUCAAUCAAACGACAGUGGAGUGCUGGCGACAAGCUAACCCUUCAAUUGCCAAUUACCAUCAGAACCGAGGCCAUAAAAGGUAGCUUCAUAAGAUAAUCCAUGUGUCUUGAUGAUCAAAUUAAAUAUCCUUCCAUCAGAUCAUACUUUUUGAAUGAGGAAUGUUUUAAUGUCCUAACCUUGCUGAUAUUGUGUAUUUUGAUUAAAUUCAGAUGACAGACCUGAAUAUGCAUCUGUUCAAGCAAUUCUUUACGAUCCUUAUCUUCUUGCUGGUCAUACCACUAAUGAUUCAGACAUUAAAGCUGUUGCAAACGGGACUACUCCAAUUCCUUCAAAUUACAAUAGUCAACUAGUUUCUUUUUCCCAAGACUCUGCAAACUCAACUUUUGUUUUAACAAACACAAACCAAUCACUUACAAUGCAAAAUUUACCUGGACCUGGCACUGAGUAUGCUCUGCAUGCAACCUUUAGACUUGUCCUAAAAGAAUCUUCCUCAAAGUUUUCACCAUUGACAGAUAGUAUUGGUAAAUCAGUGAUGUUAGAACCAAUUGACCUUCCUGGAAUGAGUGUUAUUCACCAAGGAGCAAACAAACCUCUGAUCAUUUCCAAUGGCGGGCCGUCUUCUUUUUUUCUUGUGGUACCUGGAUUGGAUGGACAAAAUGGAACUAUAUCUUUAGAAUCUGAGAGCAAUAAGGGCUGUUAUGUGUACAGUGGUUUGAGCUCUGGUUCAGGAGUUAAGCUCAGUUGCAUCUCUGGUUCUGAAUCUACUUUUAAGCAAGCAACAAGCUUUGUUUUCGGGAAAGGAUUAAGGCAAUACGAUCAUAUCAGCUUUGUGGCCAAGGGGACAAGCAGGAACUUUCUUUUGGAGCCAUUGUUGAGUUUCAGAGAUGAGCAUUAUACGGUUUAUUUCAACAUUCAACAUUGAUUCAAGUUUUUAUCUUAACUAAAAAUAUAGAUGUAAGUUUGGUCUAUGAAGGUUCAAAUAAUCAGCAUUCAAUUAUUGUUUGUAAAUAAGAAAUUAGUAUUAGAAAUUUGCGUUAGGAGAUUUUGUACAGAUUUGUUUUAUUUCCCUAUUUAGGUUUAGUCUAG
RNAcentral lists this long non-coding RNA (7313 nucleotides) under Lotus japonicus. RNAcentral describes it as "long non-coding RNA (LJAP_LNC001711)". The record is from RNAcentral. Lineage: Eukaryota; Viridiplantae; Streptophyta; Magnoliopsida; Fabales; Fabaceae.